GACGAACGCUGGCGGCGUGCUUAACACAUGCAAGUCGAACGGAAAGGCCCUGCUUUUGUGGGGUGCUCGAGUUGCGAACGGGUGAGUAACACGUAAGUAACCUGCCCCUGACUUUGGGAUAACUUCAGGAAGCUGGGGCUAAUACCGGAUAGGAGCUCCUGCUGCAUGGUGGGGGUGGGUAAGUUUCGCCGGUUGGGGAUGGACGGGCGGCUCAUCACCUCGUUGGUGGGGUGGUGUCUUACCAAGGCUUUGACGGGUAGCCGGCCUGAAAGGGUGAACGGCCACAUAGGGUCGGAGAUACGGCCGACACACAUACGGGAGGGAGGAGGGAGGAAGAAUGAUUGAUGGGCGGGAGCCAGAUGCAGCAAGGCAGCGUGCGGGAUGGAGGCCUUCGGGUUGUAAGCCGCUUUCGCCUGCGACGAAGGGUGAGUGACGGUACUGGGUAAAGAGACACCGGUAACCUACGG
This 467-nucleotide ribosomal RNA is filed under the name uncultured bacterium. Its description in RNAcentral is "partial 16S ribosomal RNA". It matches the Rfam family "Bacterial small subunit ribosomal RNA", at positions 28 to 506 of the family's 1533-position model. The record is from RNAcentral.